This 511-nucleotide ribosomal RNA is filed under the name uncultured Diversispora. RNAcentral's name for it is "SSU rRNA". It matches the Rfam family "Eukaryotic small subunit ribosomal RNA", at positions 569 to 1081 of the family's 1831-position model. Lineage: Eukaryota; Fungi; Glomeromycota; Glomeromycetes; Diversisporales; Diversisporaceae. The record is from RNAcentral.
AGCAGCCGCGGUAAUUCCAGCUCCAAUAGCGUAUAUUAAAGUUGUUGCAGUUAAAAAGCUCGUAGUUGAACUUCGGGGUCUACCCAUUGGUCAGGCUUAAUUGUCUGCACUGGUGAGAUGGAUCUCUACCUUCUGAGGAACUUUCAUGCCAUUUAUUUGGUGUGAUGGGAAAUCAGGACUGUUACUUUGAAAAAUUAGAGUGUUUAAAGCAGACUAUCGUCUGAAUACAUUAGCAUGGAAUAAUGAAAUAGGACGGACUGAUUCUAUUUCGUUGGUUUCUAGGAUCACCGUAAUGAUUAAUAGGGAUAGUUGGGGGCAUUAGUAUUCAAUUGUCAGAGGUGAAAUUCUUGGAUUUAUUGAAGACUAACUACUGCGAAAGCAUUUGCCAAGGAUGUUUUCAUUAAUCAAGACGAAAGUUAGGGGAUCGAAGACGAUCAGAUACCGUCGUAGUCUUAACCAUAAACUAUGCCGACUAGGGAUCGGACGAAGUUAAUUUUAUAAUGACGCGUUC